AUUGAACGCUGGCGGCAUGCUUUACACAUGCAAGUCGAACGGUAACAGGCCGCAAGGUGCUGACGAGUGGCGAACGGGUGAGUAAUGCAUCGGAACGUGCCCAGUCGUGGGGGAUAACGCAGCGAAAGCUGUGCUAAUACCGCAUACGAUCUGUGGAUGAAAGCGGGGGACCGAAAGGCCUCGCGCGAUUGGAGCGGCCGAUGUCAGAUUAGGGAGUUGGUGGGGUAAAGGCUCACCAAGCCAACGAUCUGUAGCUGGUCUGAGAGGACGACCAGCCACACUGGGACUGAGACACGGCCCAGACUCCUACGGGAGGCAGCAGUGGGGAAUUUUGGACAAUGGGCGCAAGCCUGAUCCAGCAAUGCCGCGUGCAGGAAGAAGGCCUUCGGGUUGUAAACUGCUUUUGUACGGAGCGAAAAGGCUCUCUCUAAUACAGGGGGCUCAUGACGGUACCGUAAGAAUAAGCACCGGCUAACUACGUGCCAGCAGCCGCCGUAA
This 498-nucleotide ribosomal RNA is filed under the name uncultured bacterium. RNAcentral describes it as "partial 16S ribosomal RNA". It matches the Rfam family "Bacterial small subunit ribosomal RNA", at positions 29 to 523 of the family's 1533-position model. The record is from RNAcentral.